Molecule: ribosomal RNA, 301 nt
Filed under: uncultured bacterium
Lineage: Bacteria
Description: partial 16S ribosomal RNA
Rfam family: Bacterial small subunit ribosomal RNA
Source: RNAcentral
CAGCCGCCACGGUAAUACGUAGGUGGCAAGCGUUGUCCGGAAUUAUUGGGCGUAAAGGGCUCGCAGGCGGUUUCUUAAGUCUGAUGUGAAAGCCCCCGGCUCAACCGGGGAGGGUCAUUGGAAACUGGGAAACUUGAGUGCAGAAGAGGAGAGUGGAAUUCCACGUGUAGCGGUGAAAUGCGUAGAGAUGUGGAGGAACACCAGUGGCGAAGGCGACUCUCUGGUCUGUAACUGACGCCGAGGAGUGAAAGCGUGGGGAGCGAACAGGAUUAGAUACCCCUGUAGUCCCUGUCUCUUAUAC